AGUGAACGCUGGCGGUAGGCCUAACACAUGCAAGUCGAACGGCAGCACAGUAAGAGCUUGCUCUUACGGGUGGCGAGUGGCGGACGGGUGAGGAAUACAUCGGAAUCUACUUUUUCGUGGGGGAUAACGUAGGGAAACUUACGCUAAUACCGCAUACGACCUACGGGUGAAAGCAGGGGAUCUUCGGACCUUGCGCGAUUGAAUGAGCCGAUGUCGGAUUAGCUAGUUGGCGGGGUAAAGGCCCACCAAGGCGACGAUCCGUAGCUGGUCUGAGAGGAUGAUCAGCCACACUGGAACUGAGACACGGUCCAGACUCCUGCGGGAGGCAGCAGUGGGGAAUAUUGGACAAUGGGCGCAAGCCUGAUCCAGCCAUACCGCGUGGGUGAAGGAGGCCUUCGGGUUGUAAAGCCCUUUUGUUGGGAAAGAAAAGCAGCAGGUUAAUACCCCGCUGUUCUGACGGUACCCAAAGAAUAAGCACCGGCUAACUUCGUG
This 492-nucleotide ribosomal RNA is filed under the name uncultured bacterium. RNAcentral's name for it is "partial 16S ribosomal RNA". It matches the Rfam family "Bacterial small subunit ribosomal RNA", at positions 29 to 507 of the family's 1533-position model. The record is from RNAcentral.